GACGAACGCUGGCGGCGUGCCUAAUACAUGCAAGUCGAGCGGGCUGAAUUCAAAGAUUCCUUCGGGAUGAUUUGUUGGACGCUAGCGGCGGAUGGGUGAGUAACACGUGGGCAAUCUGCCCUAAAGACUGGGAUACCACUUGGAAACAGGUGCUAAUACCGGAUAACAACAUGAAUCGCAUGAUUCAAGUUUGAAAGGCGGCGCAAGCUGUCACUUUAGGAUGAGCCCGCGGCGCAUUAGCUAGUUGGUGGGGUAAAGGCCUACCAAGGCAAUGAUGCGUAGCCGAGUUGAGAGACUGAUCGGCCACAUUGGGACUGAGACACGGCCCAAACUCCUACGGGAGGCAGCAGUAGGGAAUCUUCCACAAUGGACGCAAGUCUGAUGGAGCAACGCCGCGUGAGUGAAGAAGGUCUUCGGAUCGUAAAGCUCUGUUGUUGGUGAAGAAGGAUAGAGGCAGUAACUGGUCUUUAUUUGACGGUAAUCAACCAGAAAGUCACGGCUAACUACGUGCCAGCAGCCGCGGUAAUACGUAGGUGGCAAGCGUUGUCCGGAUUUAUUGGGCGUAAAGCGAGCGCAGGCGGAAUGAUAAGUCUGAUGUGAAAGCCCACGGCUCAACCGUGGAACUGCAUCGGAAACUGUCAUUCUUGAGUGCAGAAGAGGAGAGUGGAACUCCAUGUGUAGCGGUGGAAUGCGUAGAUAUAUGGAAGAACACCAGUGGCGAAGGCGGCUCUCUGGUCUGCAACUGACGCUGAGGCUCGAAAGCAUGGGUAGCGAACAGG
Molecule: ribosomal RNA, 779 nt
Filed under: uncultured Lactobacillus sp.
Lineage: Bacteria; Bacillati; Bacillota; Bacilli; Lactobacillales; Lactobacillaceae
Description: bacterial SSU rRNA
Rfam family: Bacterial small subunit ribosomal RNA
Source: RNAcentral